GACGUAGGGCGCGAGCGUUGUCCGGAUUUAUUGGGCGUAAAGAGCUCGUAGGCGGCUUGUUGCGUCGACCGUGAAAACCCGGGGCUCAACUUCGGGCUUGCGGUCGAUACGGGCGGGCUAGAGUUCGGUAGGGGAGACUGGAAUUCCUGGUGUAGCGGUGAAAUGCGCAGAUAUCAGGAGGAACACCGGUGGCGAAGGCGGGUCUCUGGGCCGAUACUGACGCUGGGGAGCGAAAGCGUGGGGAGCGAACAGG
Molecule: ribosomal RNA, 253 nt
Filed under: uncultured bacterium
Lineage: Bacteria
Description: partial 16S ribosomal RNA
Rfam family: Bacterial small subunit ribosomal RNA
Source: RNAcentral